Molecule: long non-coding RNA, 836 nt
Organism: Rosa rugosa (rugosa rose)
Lineage: Eukaryota; Viridiplantae; Streptophyta; Magnoliopsida; Rosales; Rosaceae
Exons: 3
Source: RefSeq, a predicted model, not a curated record
CCCUCCUCAGCCACCACAAUCUAAUUUGUUGAUCUCCUUCUUCCCCGUUGUCGACGUUCUUGUUGGGCUAUCCACAAACCACAGACCAUUUUCUCCAGACAGCUACAGCAUCAUUCGUCCUUCUCCUCGUUGGCCUAUCAGCAACCACAAAGCAAUUUCUGCAACUGCAUGAAAACUAAUUAAGGGGAUUAGGAUUUAGAUCUGUUUGGCAUCGAUUUUGCAGUAGUAAUCACCGGAUGUAGUAUUCCAUCGAAGGAAAAAUCAGUCGAGAUCCACCGCAUCGACGCCUCCAAUAUAUCCGUGUUAAUCGGCGCCAUAAACGGCAGCAACAAGCAAAAGGCACGAAUACGAUGCAAGAGACAUGGAAAAGAGUUCGUGAUGUGACUCCAAGCAAAAGUGGAAGUUCAUGCAGUUCAGACGAGUAAUUUAUGUCGGAGGACAUUGUUUUGAUCUAGCUAUAUGGGUGUUCUGGUACUUUAAUUUCUCAAAAAUGGAUAGAACUUUUCUCUGGGCCACUUGACCGAGUUAUUUUAGGAAGAACUCAUAUAAGGUUUGCUGUCAAAUUUUGCUGUGGAUGUAACUAAUGAGGACCUCAGCAUGUCGAGUUAAGAUGGAGUACAUCAUUAACCAAUGAAGCAGAAUAUAUUAGCAUCAUCUGAAGUGGGCUAAACUUUUAGCUACUUGUUAAUGAUGUGAACAAAUGUGGAAUGUUAAAAACGAACAUUUUAUAGGAUCAUGAGCAGGGUGUUAAUUCAGAAGAAGCCCCAGAAGAAAUGUAAAAUGGCCUUUUGUUGGCCUCUUGACUGCUUGAAAGGAGAAUUUGUUAUUUUCAUUUA